This 253-nucleotide ribosomal RNA is filed under the name uncultured bacterium. RNAcentral describes it as "partial 16S ribosomal RNA". It matches the Rfam family "Bacterial small subunit ribosomal RNA", at positions 524 to 776 of the family's 1533-position model. The record is from RNAcentral.
UACGGAGGAUGCAAGCGUUAUCCGGGAUGUUUGGGCGUAAAGCGUCCGCAGGGGGCUGUGUAAGUCUGCUGUUAAAGAGUCUAGCUCAACUAGAUAAAAGCAGUGGAAACUACACGGCUAGAGUACGUUCGGGGCAGAGGGAAUUCCUGGUGUAGCGGUGAAAUGCGUAGAGAUCGGGAGGAACACCAGUGGCGAAGGCGGCCCCCUGGGCCGUACCUGACGCUGAGACGCGAAAGCGCGGGGAGCGAACGGG